AUACUUAGGAAUAUGCCUUUGGGUGGGGAGUAACUAUUGGAACGAUAGCUAAUACCGCAUAACGUCUACGGACCAAAGGGGGACGGCUUGCGCUCUCGCCCAAAGAGUAGCCUAAGCGAGAUUAGCUUGUUGGUGAGGUAAAGGCUCACCAAGGCGACGAUCUCUAGCUGUUCUGAGAGGAAGAUCAGCCACACUGGGACUGAGACACGGCCCAGACUCCUACGGGAGGCAGCAGUGGGGAAUAUUGCACAAUGGGGGAAACCCGUGAUGCAGCCAUGCCGCGUGUGUGAAGAAGGCCUU
This 300-nucleotide ribosomal RNA is filed under the name uncultured Colwelliaceae bacterium. Its description in RNAcentral is "bacterial SSU rRNA". It matches the Rfam family "Bacterial small subunit ribosomal RNA", at positions 113 to 418 of the family's 1533-position model. The record is from RNAcentral. Lineage: Bacteria; Pseudomonadati; Pseudomonadota; Gammaproteobacteria; Alteromonadales; Colwelliaceae.